Molecule: ribosomal RNA, 1777 nt
Filed under: Salmonella enterica subsp. enterica serovar Bovismorbificans
Lineage: Bacteria; Pseudomonadati; Pseudomonadota; Gammaproteobacteria; Enterobacterales; Enterobacteriaceae
Description: partial 23S ribosomal RNA
Rfam family: Bacterial large subunit ribosomal RNA
Source: RNAcentral
GGUCGAGUCGGCCUGCGCGGAAGAUGUAACGGGGCUAAACCAUGCACCGAAGCUGCGGCAGCGACGUUUAUGCGUUGUUGGGUAGGGGAGCGUUCUGUAAGCCUGCGAAGGUGGCCUGUGAGGGUUGCUGGAGGUAUCAGAAGUGCGAAUGCUGACAUAAGUAACGAUAAAGCGGGUGAAAAGCCCGCUCGCCGGAAGACCAAGGGUUCCUGUCCAACGUUAAUCGGGGCAGGGUGAGUCGACCCCUAAGGCGAGGCCGAAAGGCGUAGUCGAUGGGAAACGGGUUAAUAUUCCCGUACUUGGUGUUACUGCGAAGGGGGGACGGAGAAGGCUAUGUUGGCCGGGCGACGGUUGUCCCGGUUUAAGCGUGUAGGCUGGUUUUCCAGGCAAAUCCGGAAAAUCAAGGCUGAGGCGUGAUGACGAGGCACUACGGUGCUGAAGCAACAAAUGCCCUGCUUCCAGGAAAAGCCUCUAAGCAUCAGGUAACAUCAAAUCGUACCCCAAACCGACACAGGUGGUCAGGUAGAGAAUACCAAGGCGCUUGAGAGAACUCGGGUGAAGGAACUAGGCAAAAUGGUGCCGUAACUUCGGGAGAAGGCACGCUGACACGUAGGUGAAGUGAUUUACUCAUGGAGCUGAAGUCAGUCGAAGAUACCAGCUGGCUGCAACUGUUUAUUAAAAACACAGCACUGUGCAAACACGAAAGUGGACGUAUACGGUGUGACGCCUGCCCGGUGCCGGAAGGUUAAUUGAUGGGGUCAGCGCAAGCGAAGCUCCUGAUCGAAGCCCCGGUAAACGGCGGCCGUAACUAUAACGGUCCUAAGGUAGCGAAAUUCCUUGUCGGGUAAGUUCCGACCUGCACGAAUGGCGUAAUGAUGGCCAGGCUGUCUCCACCCGAGACUCAGUGAAAUUGAACUCGCUGUGAAGAUGCAGUGUACCCGCGGCAAGACGGAAAGACCCCGUGAACCUUUACUAUAGCUUGACACUGAACAUUGAGCCUUGAUGUGUAGGAUAGGUGGGAGGCUUUGAAGUGUGGACGCCAGUCUGCAUGGAGCCGACCUUGAAAUACCACCCUUUAAUGUUUGAUGUUCUAACGUGGACCCGUAAUCCGGGUUGCGGACAGUGUCUGGUGGGUAGUUUGACUGGGGCGGUCUCCUCCUAAAGAGUAACGGAGGAGCACGAAGGUUGGCUAAUCCUGGUCGGACAUCAGGAGGUUAGUGCAAUGGCAUAAGCCAGCUUGACUGCGAGCGUGACGGCGCGAGCAGGUGCGAAAGCAGGUCAUAGUGAUCCGGUGGUUCUGAAUGGAAGGGCCAUCGCUCAACGGAUAAAAGGUACUCCGGGGAUAACAGGCUGAUACCGCCCAAGAGUUCAUAUCGACGGCGGUGUUUGGCACCUCGAUGUCGGCUCAUCACAUCCUGGGGCUGAAGUAGGUCCCAAGGGUAUGGCUGUUCGCCAUUUAAAGUGGUACGCGAGCUGGGUUUAGAACGUCGUGAGACAGUUCGGUCCCUAUCUGCCGUGGGCGCUGGAGAACUGAGGGGGGCUGCUCCUAGUACGAGAGGACCGGAGUGGACGCAUCACUGGUGUUCGGGUUGUCAUGCCAAUGGCACUGCCCGGUAGCUAAAUGCGGAAGAGAUAAGUGCUGAAAGCAUCUAAGCACGAAACUUGCCCCGAGAUGAGUUCUCCCUGAGACUUUAGGUCUCCUGAAGGAACGUUGAAGACGACGACGUUGAUAGGCCGGGUGUGUAAGCGCAGCGAUGCGUUGAGCUAACCGGUACUA